ACACUUUUUUCCCCACCUUUCCUCCACCUUUUUCGCUUUUUAUCCACUUUUUCCACUUUUUAUCCACUUUUCCCCACCUUUCCUCCACUUUUUCCACCUUUUUCCACAUUUCCUCCACCUUUAUCCACUUUUCCCACCUUUUAUCCCCAUUUUUCCCACCUUCCCUCCACUUUUCCCACAUUUCCUCCACCUUUUAUCCCUUUUUCCACCUUUUCCACCCUUUAUCCCAUUUUUCCACCUUUUAUCAACUAUUUUCUCACCUUCCAUCCACUUUUCCCCUUUCCCCCACCAUCUAUCCAUGUUUUCCACGUUUUUCCCAACUUUCCUUCACCUUUUUUCCACCUUUCCUCCUUUUUUCUACAUUUCCUCCACUUUUUCUACCUUCCAUCCACUUUUUCAACCUUUUAUUCCUUUUUCCACCUUUUAUCCACUCUUUUCCCACCUUUCCUCCACUUUUUUCCACCUUUUUCCACAUUUCCUCCACCAUUUAUCCACUUUUCCAUCUUUUCUCCACUUGUUUCCCACGUUUUAUCCCCUUUUUCCACCUUUCCUCCACUUUUCCCCACCUUCCAUCCACUUUUUCCACUUUUCCUCCCUUUCCCCACUUUUUCUCCACUUUUUCCCAAAUUUCCUCCACUUUUUAUCCCUUUUUCCACCUUUUCCACCCUUUAUCCCAUUUUUCCACCUUUUAUCAACUACGUCCCACAUUUAACCACUUUUUCCACCUUUUAUCCCCUUUUUCCCACCUUUCCUUCACUUUUUAUCCACUUUUUCCUCCUUUUAUCCACUUUUUCCCACCUUUCCUCCACUUUUUAUCCCUUUUUCCACCUUUUCCACCCUUUAUCCCAUUUUUCCACCUUUUAUCAACUACUUCCCACAUUUAACCACUUUUUCCACCUUUUAUCCACUUUUUCCCACCUUUCCUUCACUUUUUAUCCACUUUUUCCACCUUUUAUCCACUUUCCCCCCACAUUUCCUUCACCUUUUAUCCACUUUUUCCACCUUUCCUCCUAUUUUUUCUACAUUUCCUCCACUUUUUCCACCCUCCAUCCUUUUUUUUCCUUUUCCCGCUUUUCAUCCACUUUUUUCCACCUUUUAUCCCCCUUUUUCCACCUUUUAUCCAAUCUUUUCCCACCUUUCCUCAUUUUUUCCACCUUUUUUCCCCAUUUCCUCCACCUUUAUCCACUUUUCCCACCAUUUAUCCACCUUUUAUCCAAAUUUUCCACCUUCUAUCCCCUUUUCUCCCCACCUUCUAUCCACUUUUCCACCUUUUAUCCACUUGCUUCCCACUUUUUCCACCUUUUAUCCCCCUUUUUCCAUCUUUCCUCCAUCUUCUACCCACUUUUUUCCAUAUUUCUUCCACCUUUUAUCCCUUUUUCCACCUUUUACUCACUCUUUUCCACUUUUUCCCUACUUUUUUCCACCUUUCUUCCACCUUUUAUCCACCCUUUCCCCUUCCUCCACCUUUUAUCCACUUUUUUCUUCCCACCUUUCCUGGACUUUUUAUCCACUUUUCUCCCAACUUUUACCCAUUUUUUUCAACCUUUCAUCCACCUUUUAUCCAUUUUCACCUUUUAUCCACUUUUCCCAUCCUUUAUCCAUCUUUUCUCACCCUUUAUCCACUUUUAUCCACUUUUCCCCCACUUUUUUCCACCUUUUAUCCACUUUUUACCCACUUUCCCCACCCUUUAUCCACUUUCCCCACCUUUCAACCACUUUUUUCCACACUUUACCCACCUUUUAUCCACUUUUCCCACCCUUUAUCCACUUUUUAUCCACUUUCCCCUCCCUUUAUCCACCUUUUAUCCACUUUUUCCACCCUUUGUUCACCUUUUAGCCACUUUUCCCACCCUUCAUCCACUUUUUUCCACCCUUUAUCCCCUUUUCCCCACCUUUUAUCCACUUUUUUCCACCCUUUAUCUACUUUUUAUCCACUUUCCCCACCCUUUAUCCACUUUUCCCCACCUUUUAUCCAUUUUUUCCACCCUUUGUUCAUCUUUUAGCCACUUUUUUCCACCCUUUAUCCACUUUUUAUCCACUUUUUCCACCCUUUGUCUGCUUUUCCCACCCUUUAUCCACCUUUUAUCUGCUUUUCCGACUUUUUAUCCACUUUCUUCCACCCUUUAUCCACUUUUUUCUACCUUUUAUCCCCUUUUUAUCCACUUUCCCCCUUUUUCCACCCUUUAUCCACCUUUUUCCACCCUUUAUCCACCUUUUUAUGCACUUUUUCCACUGUUUGUCCACUUUUGAUCCACCUUCCCCACCCUUCCUCCACUUCCCUUCCCUCUUCAUCCUUUUUAUUAUUACUACUUUCAUUUUUUUAUUAUUUUUUUUCCAA
RNAcentral lists this long non-coding RNA (2338 nucleotides) under Calidris pugnax (ruff). RNAcentral's name for it is "lncRNA (ENSCPUG00000008367.1)". Lineage: Eukaryota; Metazoa; Chordata; Aves; Charadriiformes; Scolopacidae. The record is from RNAcentral.